CCUACGGGGAGCAGCAGUAGGGAAUCUUUCACAAUGGGCGAAAGCCUGAUGGAGCAACGCCGCGUGCAGGAUGAAGGCCUUCGGGUUGUAAACUGCUUUUAUAAGCGAGAAAUAUGAUGGUAACUUAUGAAUAAGGCUCGGCUAACUACGUGCCAGCCGCCGCGGUCAUACGUAGGAUCCGAGCAUUAUCCGGAGUGACUGGGUGUAAAGAGUUGCGUAGGUGGCAUAAUAAGUAGCUAGUGAAAUCUGGUGGCUCAACCAUUCAGACUAUUAGCUAAACUGUUAAGCUCGAGACCGUUAGGGGUAACUGGAAUUUCUAGUGUAGGAGUGAAAUCCGUAGAUAUUAGAAGGAACACCAAUAGCGUAGGCAGGUUGCUGGGACGGUUCUGACACUAAGGCACGAAAGCGUAGGGAGCAAACGGGAUUAGAUACCCUUGUAGUC
This 442-nucleotide ribosomal RNA is filed under the name uncultured bacterium. Its description in RNAcentral is "partial 16S ribosomal RNA". It matches the Rfam family "Bacterial small subunit ribosomal RNA", at positions 338 to 795 of the family's 1533-position model. The record is from RNAcentral.